UACGUAGGGGGCUAGCGUUGUCCGGAAUCAUUGGGCGUAAAGCGCGUGUAGGCGGCCUUGUAAGUCCGUUCUGAAAGCCCGGGGCUCAACCCCGGGAGGCGGAUGGAUACUGCAAGGCUCGAGUCCGGAAGAGGCGAGUGGAAUUCCCGGUGUAGCGGUGAAAUGCGCAGAUAUCGGGAGGAACACCAAUGGCGAAGGCAGCUCGCUGGGACGGUACUGAUGCUGAGACGCGAAAGCGUGGGGAGCAAACAGG
This 253-nucleotide ribosomal RNA is filed under the name uncultured bacterium. RNAcentral's name for it is "partial 16S ribosomal RNA". It matches the Rfam family "Bacterial small subunit ribosomal RNA", at positions 524 to 776 of the family's 1533-position model. The record is from RNAcentral.